This 1387-nucleotide ribosomal RNA is filed under the name Streptomyces sp. STR94. RNAcentral describes it as "bacterial SSU rRNA". It matches the Rfam family "Bacterial small subunit ribosomal RNA". Lineage: Bacteria; Bacillati; Actinomycetota; Actinomycetes; Kitasatosporales; Streptomycetaceae. The record is from RNAcentral.
GGCGAACGGGUGAGUAACACGUGGGCAAUCUGCCCUGCACUCUGGGACAAGCCCUGGAAACGGGGUCUAAUACCGGAUACUGAUCCUCGCAGGCAUCUGCGAGGUUCGAAAGCUCCGGCGGUGCAGGAUGAGCCCGCGGCCUAUCAGCUAGUUGGUGAGGUAACGGCUCACCAAGGCGACGACGGGUAGCCGGCCUGAGAGGGCGACCGGCCACACUGGGACUGAGACACGGCCCAAACUCCUACGGGAGGCAGCAGUGGGGAAUAUUGCACAAUGGGCGAAAGCCUGAUGCAGCGACGCCGCGUGAGGGAUGACGGCCUUCGGGUUGUAAACCUCUUUCAGCAGGGAAGAAGCGAAAGUGACGGUACCUGCAGAAGAAGCGCCGGCUAACUACGUGCCAGCAGCCGCGGUAAUACGUAGGGCGCAAGCGUUGUCCGGAAUUAUUGGGCGUAAAGAGCUCGUAGGCGGCUUGUCACGUCUGUUGUGAAAGCCCGGGGCUUAACCCCGGGUCUGCAGUCGAUACGGGCAGGCUAGAGUUCGGUAGGGGAGAUCGGAAUUCCUGGUGUAGCGGUGAAAUGCGCAGAUAUCAGGAGGAACACCGGUGGCGAAGGCGGAUCUCUGGGCCGAUACUGACGCUGAGGAGCGAAAGCGUGGGGAGCGAACAGGAUUAGAUACCCUGGUAGUCCACGCCGUAAACGGUGGGCACUAGGUGUGGGCAACAUUCCACGUUGUCCGUGCCGCAGCUAACGCAUUAAGUGCCCCGCCUGGGGAGUACGGCCGCAAGGCUAAAACUCAAAGGAAUUGACGGGGGCCCGCACAAGCGGCGGAGCAUGUGGCUUAAUUCGACGCAACGCGAAGAACCUUACCAAGGCUUGACAUACACCGGAAAACCCUGGAGACAGGGUCCCCCUUGUGGUCGGUGUACAGGUGGUGCAUGGCUGUCGUCAGCUCGUGUCGUGAGAUGUUGGGUUAAGUCCCGCAACGAGCGCAACCCUUGUCCCGUGUUGCCAGCAGGCCCUUGUGGUGCUGGGGACUCACGGGAGACCGCCGGGGUCAACUCGGAGGAAGGUGGGGACGACGUCAAGUCAUCAUGCCCCUUAUGUCUUGGGCUGCACACGUGCUACAAUGGCCGGUACAAUGAGCUGCGAUACCGCGAGGUGGAGCGAAUCUCAAAAAGCCGGUCUCAGUUCGGAUUGGGGUCUGCAACUCGACCCCAUGAAGUCGGAGUCGCUAGUAAUCGCAGAUCAGCAUUGCUGCGGUGAAUACGUUCCCGGGCCUUGUACACACCGCCCGUCACGUCACGAAAGUCGGUAACACCCGAAGCCGGUGGCCCAACCCCUUGUGGGAGGGAGCUGUCGAAGGUGGGACUGGCGAUUGGGACGAAGUC